RNAcentral lists this ribosomal RNA (478 nucleotides) under uncultured bacterium. RNAcentral's name for it is "partial 16S ribosomal RNA". It matches the Rfam family "Bacterial small subunit ribosomal RNA", at positions 28 to 523 of the family's 1533-position model. The record is from RNAcentral.
GACGAACGCUGGCGGCGUGCUUAACACAUGCAAGUCGAACGGUAAGGCCCUUCGGGGUACACGAGUGGCGAACGGGUGAGUAACACGUGGGUGAUCUGCCCUGCACUUCGGGAUAAGCCUGGGAAACUGGGUCUAAUACCGGAUAGGACCACUGCCUGCAUGGGUGGUGGUGGAAAGCUUUUGCGGUGUGGGAUGGGCCCGCGGCCUAUCAGCUUGUUGGUGGGGUGAUGGCCUACCAAGGCGACGACGGGUAGCCGGCCUGAGAGGGUGACUGGCCACACUGGGACUGAGAUACGGCCCAGACUCCUACGGGAGGCAGCAGUGGGGAAUAUUGCACAAUGGGCGCAAGCCUGAUGCAGCGACGCCGCGUGAGGGAUGACGGCCUUCGGGUUGUAAACCUCUUUCAGCACCGACGAAGCGCAAGUGACGGUAGGUGCAGAAGAAGGACCGGCCAACUACGUGCCAGCAGCAGCCGCCG